CCUAAAUAUUACCAGCAAUCCAACCCAAUAAUCUCAACUCUCAAUUUCACAAUAAAUGAACAAACAACAUCCAAAAUCCAAAAUCAGAGUAUACAAACAAGUACAACAUCUCAGGUUCAAUAAAAUUCUUUGUUCACAAAAUCAGAAUUCAGUUCAUCAGAGUUCAGUUCAUCAGAGUUCAGUUCAUCAGAAUCAAUGAAAUCCCAAAAUUAUUUCAUAACAGUUUCAGAGAGUAGAGACUCAGAGUUCAGUUCAUCAUAGCACAGUUCAUCAGAAAUAAUGAAAUCAAAAAAUAAAUUCAUAACAGUUUACUCAGAGUUCAUUCAUCAGAAUCAAUGAAAUCAAAAAAUAGAUUCAUAACAGUUUACUCAGAGUUCAGUUCAUCAGAGCACAGUUCAUCAGAAUCAAUGAAAUCAAAAAAUAAAUUCAAAACAGUUUCAGAGAGUAGAGACCCAGAGUUCAGUUCAUCAGUUCAGUUCAUCAGAAUCAAUGAAAUCA
Non-coding RNA from Arachis ipaensis, 498 nucleotides. The record is from RefSeq and is a predicted model, not a curated record. Lineage: Eukaryota; Viridiplantae; Streptophyta; Magnoliopsida; Fabales; Fabaceae.